This 519-nucleotide ribosomal RNA is filed under the name Rhizocarpon lavatum. RNAcentral describes it as "eukaryotic LSU rRNA". The stretch from base 196 to 349 matches the Rfam family "5.8S ribosomal RNA". Lineage: Eukaryota; Fungi; Ascomycota; Lecanoromycetes; Rhizocarpales; Rhizocarpaceae. The record is from RNAcentral.
UGCGGAAGGAUCAUUACCGAGAUAGGGGCUCCGGCCCCGAACCUCCCACCCGUGUUUACCGACCCUUGUUGCUUUGGCGGGUCCGUGCCGACCGGGACCGAUCGGUACCCCCUUAACCGGGGAGCGCCCGCCGAAAGCCUGUCCGGUACAAAUUCUUCAACGCGGUGGAGUCUGAGUGAACAGGGCAAUAAUCAAAACUUUCAACAACGGAUCUCUUGGUUCUGGCAUCGAUGAAGAACGCAGCGAAAUGCGAUAAGUAAUGUGAAUUGCAGAAUUCAGUGAAUCAUCGAAUCUUUGAACGCACAUUGCGCCCUUUGGUACUCCAAGGGGCAUGCCUGUCCGAGCGUCAUUACACCCUCAAGCCCUUGCUUGGUAUUGGGCCGACACUCCCUUGGGGGUGGGUCCGAAAGUCAUUGGCCGUCCGCAUCGGACUUCAGGCGUAGUGGUUUUCCCGCCUUGGAAGCGCCGGCCCGGGCCUGCCAGACAACAUCCACAUUCUUUCGCAUUGACCUCGGAUCA